CUGAAGUUAUGUGGUUGAGUUGGAUUAAUUUUUCUGUUUUUGUCUAUUGUUGGAUAUUUUAAUAUUCAACUUUAAAUUAUGAGAUUGUAAUGUUUUCUUUGUUAUUUAACCUGUGCUAGAAUGCUUUCAUUUUCUGAUAUUUGUAGGGAAAUCAAUGUGCUGUUCCCAACCUGAAUAAUAUGAAAAAUCCUGCCAACUUACACUUUGUUUUGAUAUCCAGUAAGAAUGAUUUCACAUCACUAAUUCCAAUAAUGGAAUUGAGUUUCACAUCCGUAAUUGUUUAUCCAAAAUAGCCAAAACUAACUUACAUCUAGUCCGCUCUAAUUAGUGCCCUAAAGGAGAAGGGUUGAGUUACUAGAGAAGUUGGCUGUAUUUAAUUAGAUUAGAAUUCAGGAACUAAUACUAUAAAUAAGAAAUAGAAGUAUUGUGUAGAGAUUAAAUUGGCUUUGCUCAUUAAGAGUGGCUUCGCCCAUUGAUGAGGGCUCAUGUCCAUUACAGUCCUAUGGAGCUAAAGAGGUUUUGGCUUAAACUAGAGGACAUAGAAUUUAAGAGUAAGGAAUUAUUGUUCAACUCUUGCCCAUUAUAAGGUAAUUAAAUUGGUUUAUGUCUAGAGGAAAAUGAGAGGACUAAUGAAUAUAUUUACCGAGGAUUGUCUUGAGUGUAAUUGGAUUAAAUGGUAAUAUAAUUUUUAGCUUCUAAUUGAUUAUAUUUUAUUAAUAGUGGAAAAUGACAAGCCUGUUAACUAACAUAUGUAGAGAGGCUGAACUUGGCUGCUACUAUUAACAUUGGCUUUAAAAUUUUGGGCUGCUGCAGCAUGGGGGCUUUCUCCAUAAUUUAUUUCCUUUAUAGAUUUUUCUGAGAACCAUGUAUUUAUGUUGUUCUUGUGAUGCUCUCCAUGUCUCUUUCCUGGUUAUUUAUCACCAUCAGCAUCACGUAUUCUAACAAAUCUCUGAAUUCUUAGUGGGACUA
This 969-nucleotide unclassified non-coding RNA is filed under the name Hevea brasiliensis (rubber tree). Lineage: Eukaryota; Viridiplantae; Streptophyta; Magnoliopsida; Malpighiales; Euphorbiaceae. The record is from RNAcentral.